Molecule: ribosomal RNA, 120 nt
Filed under: Ipomoea nil (Japanese morning glory)
Lineage: Eukaryota; Viridiplantae; Streptophyta; Magnoliopsida; Solanales; Convolvulaceae
Also listed under: 1 other name
Source: RNAcentral
GGAUGCGAUCAUACCAGCACUAAUGCACCGGAUCCCAUCAGAACUCCGAAGUUAAGCGUGCUUGGGCGAGAGUAGUACUAGGAUGGGUGACCCCCCUGGGAAGUCCUCGUGUUGCAUCCC